CCAAUUUCAAUUAUAGGGUGGCUUUCAAACAAACUCUAAAAAAACGUUUUGACAAAAGAAAAAUUAAAAGAUAAACAAGAACACCCCCCCUCCCCCCGCGUCAUCUUCCUGACGAGUAACGACCCCCUUCCCUCCGUAACGAAGCACCCAUGUCAUCUUCUCACAGACUCACUCCUAUUCCUUCUAAUCUGCAUCCCUAAUCAUCUACAACAUUAAAAGCAAGUAUAAAACAUAGAAAUCAACCAAUAACAAUUUUACUAUCAUCAAGGAUUAACUCCAAAUUGCUAGAAAAUAAAUCUACCAUCAAAUUUCCCCAGAUUUUAGUGAUGCCUCAAAGUAAAAGCACUACCAACAAGCUCGUCGGUGCCUGAACCUCCGGAUUUUAGAUUCGAAAAACUAUUUUUCCAUAAUUAUACAGAUAUUGACCUCAUAUCUUAAGAGAAGGGUCGAAAUUGGGUGGUAAGCACAACAACUUGCAGAAUGAAUUAUGGGCUUUAGUUUUUGAUAAAUUUUGAUAAUGGAAAGGAUACAUAAAUUGGCGAAAUGGGAUCUGGGUAUGGUGAAAUAGAGCAGCGGUUAAAGGUGGCUAAUUGGAGAAAAAGAAUUUGAGUUAAGAGAAAAGAGCAAAGAGUCGAAGAAGAAUAAAUGUGUGAAAUUUUUCCGGUAAUAUUCAGUGAUUCCUGCAAUCUAUAUAUUAUUAAAAGGCAGACAAAGCUCUCUCCUUAAGCAUUCUAAAAAAAUACAUGACAUAUUUAGUUACUAAUUAGUUAUUUAAUUAUUAAUU
RNAcentral lists this long non-coding RNA (784 nucleotides) under Nicotiana benthamiana. Its description in RNAcentral is "long non-coding RNA (NBEN_LNC016982)". The record is from RNAcentral. Lineage: Eukaryota; Viridiplantae; Streptophyta; Magnoliopsida; Solanales; Solanaceae.